This 432-nucleotide ribosomal RNA is filed under the name uncultured bacterium. RNAcentral's name for it is "bacterial SSU rRNA". It matches the Rfam family "Bacterial small subunit ribosomal RNA", at positions 8 to 439 of the family's 1533-position model. The record is from RNAcentral.
AGAGUUUGAUCCUGGCUCAGGACGAACGCUGGCGGCGUGCCUAACACAUGCAAGUCGAGCGAGGGGAGUUCUUCGGAACAAACCUAGCGGCGGACGGGUGAGUAACACGUGGGUAACCUGCCUCAAAGAGGGGGAUAGCCUCCCGAAAGGGAGAUUAAUACCGCAUAACAUUAUUUUCUCCCAUGAGAGAAUAAUCAAAGGAGCAAUCCGCUUUGAGAUGGACCCGCGGCGCAUUAGCUAGUUGGUGAGGUAACGGCUCACCAAGGCGACGAUGCGUAGCCGACCUGAGAGGGUGAUCGGCCACAUUGGAACUGAGACACGGUCCAGACUCCUACGGGAGGCAGCAGUGGGGAAUAUUGCGCAAUGGGGGAAACCCUGACGCAGCAACGCCGCGUGAGUGAUGAAGGCCUUCGGGUUGUAAAGCUCUGUCUU